This 245-nucleotide long non-coding RNA is filed under the name Manihot esculenta (cassava). Its description in RNAcentral is "long non-coding RNA (MESC_LNC010989)". The record is from RNAcentral. Lineage: Eukaryota; Viridiplantae; Streptophyta; Magnoliopsida; Malpighiales; Euphorbiaceae.
CUCCCCAUCAAUCUCAGCUUCCCUCUUGGACUCAUUGACAUCGUUGCCCAAAUUGAUCGUCGUCGGUACAUCGCCCAAAUUUAUCGUCGUCAUCGGUACAUCACAGCUUCUCCAUCAUCGUCGAUACAUCCCAGCUUCCCUCCUGAAGGCACUAUUGUCGUCCCUCCCCUCCCGUCGAUACAUCACAUCUACUGCUCCUUUAUUCUUGCUCUUCUUCAAGAUCUGCAUUUUCCAUUCUCCAGGUA